UGGGUAGUCCGCACGAGCGCACCUUACUUUUAGUUGCCAUCAUUUAGUUGGGCACUCUGAAAGAACUGCCAGUGAUAAGCUGGAGGAAGGUGGGGAUGACGUCAAGUCCUCAUGGCCCUUACGUGUUGGGCUACACACGUGCUACAAUGGCAUUUACAAUAGGAAGCAAGAUGGCGACAUCAAGCAAAUCCUAAAAAAAUGCCUCAGUUCGGAUUGUACUCUGCAACUCGAGUACAUGAAGCUGGAAUUGCUAGUAAUCGCGGAUCAGCGCGCCGCGGUGAAUACGUUCCCGGGUCUUGUACACACCGCCCGUCACACCAUGGAAGUUGGUUCUACCUUAAGGCAAAGCAUAAAACCUUUGACCACGGUAUAGUCAGCGACUGGGGUGAAGUCGUAACAAGGUAGCCGUAGGGGAACCUGCGGCUGGAUUACCUCCUUUCU
RNAcentral lists this ribosomal RNA (441 nucleotides) under uncultured Pelagibacterales bacterium. Its description in RNAcentral is "bacterial SSU rRNA". It matches the Rfam family "Bacterial small subunit ribosomal RNA", at positions 1077 to 1533 of the family's 1533-position model. Lineage: Bacteria; Pseudomonadati; Pseudomonadota; Alphaproteobacteria; Candidatus Pelagibacterales. The record is from RNAcentral.